Molecule: transfer RNA, 73 nt
Filed under: Camelus bactrianus (Bactrian camel)
Lineage: Eukaryota; Metazoa; Chordata; Mammalia; Artiodactyla; Camelidae
Also listed under: 1 other name
Rfam family: tRNA
About the family: Transfer RNA (tRNA) molecules are approximately 80 nucleotides in length. Their secondary structure includes four short double-helical elements and three loops (D, anti-codon, and T loops). Further hydrogen bonds mediate the characteristic L-shaped molecular structure. tRNAs have two regions of fundamental functional importance: the anti-codon, which is responsible for specific mRNA codon recognition, and the 3' end, to which the tRNAs corresponding amino acid is attached (by aminoacyl-tRNA synthetases). tRNAs cope with the degeneracy of the genetic code in two manners: having more than one tRNA (with a specific anti-codon) for a particular amino acid; and 'wobble' base-pairing, i.e. permitting non-standard base-pairing at the 3rd anti-codon position.
Source: Rfam by way of RNAcentral
GAGGGUAUAGCUCAAGCGGUAGAGCACAUGCUUAGCAUGCACAGGGUCCUGGGUUCAAUCCCCAGUACCUCCU